CAGCUUUGGAAAACACAUGCUCGCAGGGCACAGGUGAAGCUGGGGUACACAAAAACUGUAAACCCAGGUGGAAAAAGUUCAGAUGCAGAUGCGGUACCUUUUAAACACAGUUUGGUGCGUUGGCAAUGAGCGAUACAGCAGCUGGAUCGAUCACGUGACUUUGUCUUAAAGCGACCCACGCAUCGGUACAGGCUUCGCUCUGUGAGCUUGAUACAUGCGUCGGUGCGUCAGUGUUGCAGGACCCAUCACUAGUCGACCAGAAAAACAUCACAGCUGAGUCUGGACAGAACGUCACUCUGACAUGUCGAGCUUCAAACAACAUCAUAGUUGUAAAAUGGAUCAGAGCUGAUCUGAAGUCAGAUUAUGUCCUUUUUUCCCCCCGGGAUGAUCUGUUUGUUCCAGCCAACCAGCAUCAGACAGACUGUGAACGCUUACAGGCAAACAUCACACUCAUGAUCAGUGAUUCAUUUUUCUCUGAACUUUAAAUUAAAUACAUUUUACUUCAUGUAGUUGUUUGUUCUGAGUCACUUUAUAAGACCCUUUCUGACCUGUACAGUCUGUUGAUGGUGUUUGUCUCCUGCACUGUAAGUAAAGUUUCUUGACAUGAAUGUUGUUUCCUGUUGCUUCAUGAGUAAAACAGAACUGAAACAUAAUGUGAGCUGGAAUCAAUCCAUAGUUGGUUUGUGGUCAUUUUUCUUGCUUUUCACCACAAAAAAUGACCACACCGACCAGCCAAU
Molecule: long non-coding RNA, 737 nt
Organism: Maylandia zebra (zebra mbuna)
Lineage: Eukaryota; Metazoa; Chordata; Actinopteri; Cichliformes; Cichlidae
Source: RefSeq, a predicted model, not a curated record